GCGCUCAUACCGGACGGGGUAUGAGGACGACCAACUUCACCCUCAUACCGGACGAGAUAUUGAGGUUUAAUAUCUUGCCGCUCAUGCCGAACGGGGUAUGGGGACGGCUCUGUAAUUAGGAUCGUUAAUGGAAAUUGUUCACGUAUAGCAGAGACACCCCUAUGGAUACCCAUGGAUACUAGUAGGGUGGUGAAACAAGAGACGGUUAUGAUUUAGUUU
Molecule: long non-coding RNA, 219 nt
Filed under: Carica papaya (papaya)
Lineage: Eukaryota; Viridiplantae; Streptophyta; Magnoliopsida; Brassicales; Caricaceae
Description: long non-coding RNA (CPAP_LNC001319)
Source: RNAcentral